This 71-nucleotide transfer RNA is filed under the name Staphylinidae sp. BMNH 1274216. RNAcentral's name for it is "tRNA-Lys". The record is from RNAcentral. Lineage: Eukaryota; Metazoa; Arthropoda; Insecta; Coleoptera; Staphylinidae.
CAUUAGAUGGCUGAAAGUAAGUAAUGGUCUCUUAAACCUUAAAAUAAUAGAUUAACACCUAUUUCUAAUGA